RNAcentral lists this ribosomal RNA (465 nucleotides) under Vreelandella stevensii. RNAcentral describes it as "partial 16S ribosomal RNA". It matches the Rfam family "Bacterial small subunit ribosomal RNA", at positions 338 to 795 of the family's 1533-position model. The record is from RNAcentral. Lineage: Bacteria; Pseudomonadati; Pseudomonadota; Gammaproteobacteria; Oceanospirillales; Halomonadaceae.
CCUACGGGGUGCAGCAGUGGGGAAUAUUGGACAAUGGGCGAAAGCCUGAUCCAGCCAUGCCGCGUGUGUGAAGAAGGCCUUCGGGUUGUAAAGCACUUUCAGUGGGGAAGAAAGCCUUGGGGCUAAUACCCUCGAGGAAGGACAUCACCCACAGAAGAAGCACCGGCUAACUCCGUGCCAGCAGCCGCGGUAAUACGGAGGGUGCGAGCGUUAAUCGGAAUUACUGGGCGUAAAGCGCGCGUAGGCGGUCUGAUAAGCCGGUUGUGAAAGCCCCGGGCUCAACCUGGGAACGGCAUCCGGAACUGUCAGGCUAGAGUGCAGGAGAGGAAGGUAGAAUUCCCGGUGUAGCGGUGAAAUGCAUAGAGAUCGGGAGGAAUACCAGUGGCGAAGGCGGCCUUCUGGACUGACACUGACGCUGAGGUGCGAAAGCGUGGGUAGCAAACAGGAUUAGAUACCCUGGUAGUC